UGGGGAAUAUUGGACAAUGGGCGAAAGCCUGAUCCAGCCAUGCCGCGUGUGUGAAGAAGGCCUUCGGAUUGUAAAGCACUUUAAGUUGGGAGGAAGGGCAGUAAGCGAAUACCUUGCUGUUUUGACGUUACCGACAGAAUAAGCACCGGCUAACUCUGUGCCAGCAGCCGCGGUAAUACAGAGGGUGCAAGCGUUAAUCGGAAGUACUGGGCGUAAAGCGCGCGUAGGUGGUUCGUUAAGUUGAAUGUGAAAGCCCCGGGCUCAACCUGGGAACUGCAUCCAAAACUGGCGAGCUAUAGUAGGGCAGAGGGUGGUGGAAUUUCCUGUGUAGCGGUGAAAUGCGUAGAUAUAGGAAGGAACACCAGUGGCGAAGGCGACCACCUGGGCUCAUACUGACACUGAGGUGCGAAAGCGUGGGGAGCAAACAGG
RNAcentral lists this ribosomal RNA (429 nucleotides) under Pseudomonadota bacterium. RNAcentral's name for it is "Proteobacteria bacterium partial 16S ribosomal RNA". It matches the Rfam family "Bacterial small subunit ribosomal RNA", at positions 355 to 776 of the family's 1533-position model. The record is from RNAcentral. Lineage: Bacteria; Pseudomonadati; Pseudomonadota.